Tachysurus vachellii is the source of this 73-nucleotide non-coding RNA. The record is from the annotation of a RefSeq genome assembly. NCBI's taxonomy places the organism in Eukaryota, Metazoa, Chordata, Actinopteri, Siluriformes, Bagridae.
GCCUCGUUAGCGCAGUAGGUAGCGCUUCAGUCUCUUAACCUGAUGGUUGUGAGUUCAAUCCUCACACGGGGAA